CCCUUAGAUGUCCUGGGCCGCACGCGCGCUACACUGACAUGUUCAACAAGCCUCCUAGUUCGACAGGAUUUGGGAAAUCUUUGAACGCAUGUCGUGAUAGGGAUAGAUCUUUGCAAUUAUUGAUCUUGAACGAGGAAUUCCUAGUAAACGCGAGUCAUCAGCUCGCAUUGAUUACGUCCCUGCCCUUUGUACACACCGCCCGUCGCACCUACCGAUUGAAUGUUUCGGUGAAGAUUCCGGAUAGGACUUUUUUGAUUUAUUUCAAUUUUGUCUUAAAAGCUAUCUAAACCUCAACAUUUAGAGGAAGGUGAAGUCGUAACA
This 321-nucleotide ribosomal RNA is filed under the name uncultured eukaryote. Its description in RNAcentral is "partial 18S ribosomal RNA". It matches the Rfam family "Eukaryotic small subunit ribosomal RNA", at positions 1470 to 1796 of the family's 1831-position model. The record is from RNAcentral.